UAGGGAAUAUUGGACAAUGGGUGAGAGCCUGAUCCAGCCAUGCCGCGUGCAGGAAGAAGGCGUUAUGCGUUGUAAACUGCUUUUUGCCAGGGGAUAAAAAGACCGUGCGCGGUUAAUUGAAGGUACCUGGUGAAUAAGCCACGGCUAACUACGUGCCAGCAGCCGCGGUAAUACGUAGGUGGCAAGCGUUGUCCGGAUUUAUUGGGUUUAAAGGGUGCGUAGGUGGCCCUGUAAGUCAGUGGUGAAAUAUCUCAGCUUAACUGAGAGGGUGCCAUUGAUACUGCAGGGCUUGAGUACAGAUGAGGUAGGCGGAAUUGACGGUGUAGCGGUGAAAUGCAUAGAUAUCGUCAAGAACACCGAUAGCGAAGGCAGCUUACCAAGCUGUAACUGACACUGAGGCACGAAAGUGUGGGGAUCAAACAGGAUUAGAUACCCCGGUAGUCCCUGAGCGGGCUGGCAAGGCGCAU
Molecule: ribosomal RNA, 467 nt
Filed under: uncultured bacterium
Lineage: Bacteria
Description: bacterial SSU rRNA
Rfam family: Bacterial small subunit ribosomal RNA
Source: RNAcentral